GCGAGGAUGGCACAGCGGAGAGGCGCAGUACCGGUAACGGUAAAGGACGCAGGUUCGACUCCUGCACCUCGUA
RNAcentral lists this transfer RNA (73 nucleotides) under Eubacterium sp. AM46-8. Its description in RNAcentral is "tRNA-Tyr". RNAcentral also lists the same sequence under 1 other name. Lineage: Bacteria; Bacillati; Bacillota; Clostridia; Eubacteriales; Eubacteriaceae. The record is from RNAcentral.